UCUUUAUUGUAACAUUUAAUUUUGUAGCCUUUCUUUGAUAAGGUAAUUCACCCUUUUGAUUUCAUGACGAGUGAGUGGUGAAGACUGCUACCUAUAGGAUGUACGUAAUAUCUGGAUCCACCAAGAUAUUGUCUUCUAGGGAGGUCUGGCGUUUCCCGUCGGGGCUUACUGUAGCUAGCGAGCUCGAUUUGACAGUUAGUUCAGGCAAGAUAACGAGUACGGUUGUCAUGUUGCUAUCUAAACGCUUCAGACGCUAAAAGCUAGUUUAGUGAGACUACCAGGCUAGCAGCGUAGCUCUAUAGCGCAAGUCAGUGAAGUAUGCGUUCUUGAAUCCUUAGACCGAUAUAUAUAUAUAUACAUAUUUAUAUAUAUAUAUAUUUUUUUUUGUAAUGUAGCUAGCCAUAGUUUUAGCCGGGGUACAUUUCGUAUGCUGUUUCAGUUUUCUUGGAUAGUCGUCGGCUGAAACACAAUAGGACUAUCCUUUACAGCGCAAUAGGGUCUUGGCCUAGAUCAAGCAAUGGAUUAAAUUCUAAAUCAGUGCCACACAAAGAACCAUUGCAUCAGCAGCUUGCAGAAAAUCAGGCAAGACUAUUUCAGUUAUCAUAGGGAGCCUACUACCUAGUUCAGUACACCGUGCUGUCAGUUUCGCCAGCUACCUAAACGCUACAAUCAAACAUUCCUUUAGUGUUUGAGCAUUUAUAUUCUGCUGCGUAUUUGGCUAGCGAGCUUGCCAACCAAUUCUCGAUUUGGUCAUUUAGUUUGCUAAGUUAGUUAACGCCAGACAACGUCAGCUUGAUACAGACCCAGUUUAAUAACUCAACUAGGUAUAUUGGUAUAACUAAAAUAUCUAGUUACAUGAAAACAUGUUUGUUUGAAAUAUCUGGUAAGCAUUGGUAACGCUAUCAAGUUCACCAACUAGCUUGAUAGUAGUAGCUAGCAAGGUUAGAUGUAUUUGCUGACUGUCAGUGGUCUGCCAGGAUCCCCAUAGGAGCACAAGCUUUAACAUUUUCGUCUCACUUUGAGCAUUUCAUGAAUGUAGAAUUUUGAUUUUUGCAAGAAAGGUGACAGUGGUUUGUUAAUAUGUCCCGUAGAUUCUCGGCAGUGGUUUUUAUGCACAAGUAACUUACUAAGUUGACACCUGCAGCAAAUAGGCGCAUGCACUUCUUUUUCAGUGUGUUUUAGUGGUUCCCGGUAACACGUUUUGUGCAAGCGUUAACCCAGAGCUGCAUUUUGAGGUACGCCGUAGUCAAAUAUUGCGCGAACGCAUUCGUAAUUGGGGGUUUUCAUUCAAUUUCGCAAUCUUGUGAUGUAGGUUAUAUGCAUGUAUCCAUUAAAAUAUUGAGCUAUACGAUGGUCUGUGAGCAAAGAUAUAAGAUGCAUGAAGCUUCACUUUUUAAGACCCCCACUAGUGUAGCCAUAAAUACUUUACAGCUACGUGGGGAAUAUAUGCUUCGUGGUCAGGAGAAUGCAUGAACACUGCAAGCAGUGAACAUUUUCUUUUGGCAAUUCGAAGCGUAGCCACUAAAGCAACAUGCAGAAUCGGUUGUAUGAUGUCAUUCCUUUAGAAGCGUCAUAAUGCUGAAAUCUCGUAUUCUGGUCGUUACACGGGUAGUUUGUUCUGAUUUGUAAGUGUAACGUUAGUAGUACGCUAAAUAGUAGGGGGUUUGGAGACCUCCUUUACUGUCCUGCACGCGGAGUUUAUGUCUAAGGCACAUGGUGGAGGGUUCCCUUGACAUGAAUCUGGGAUUAACUUGUUUCCCCUCUGAAUUCACAACAGUGAAGUUGUUUCAGGAGAUAAGCAUGUGAAAUCAAAGUAUCUGAAUGUUUUCAUUUUAUUUCCUGCUGUUUGGCAUCAGAACUUUUGGCUGAGGGCAAAAUGUUAAUGUCAUGGCCUGUGUCUUUAAAACCACAAUUUUAAAUCAGGCUGUGAUUUACCAGAUUGCUGUGAAUUGUGUAUCUUAAGUGAUGGUUAAGAGCAGAAGAUUGAUCGGCAUCUGAAGGAAAUGCAGUGUACUGUAACUGUUCACAAUCCUUUUAUGACAGAAAUUGACAAGCGUAAUAUUGCCUGUGUUUACUCGAGUUUUUAAUGUUAAAUUAGUUCAGACUGUUUUGUUGAAGGGACUCCAUGUCAUACAAAGUGUACUAGCAGAUGACUUCUGUUAUUUUAGUGUCACAAGCAUAAAGAUGAAUUUUAUGAUGAGAACUUCAGUGUUGAUCAGUAUUUGCUGUUGAAGUGGAUGGAGAUGAAGCACAGGUGAUGUGAAUUAACCCCCUCCCUCAAUAGUUAAAUAAAUGAUUUGGAAGAUGAAUAUUAGAAAUAUAAAUCUCGAUGGACGAAUUGCCCCUUUUAUUGCUGGUGACUUGGUGUUAAAACAUCAUGGCUCCUCCAGUUAUGUAAUGUUCUGAGUUCUAGGAAUUGGCUUAAAAUAGUGUAGUGGUCUUGCAUCAGCGGUGGCGUUUCUGUGCCUAGCAUUGGCAAUGCAAUAGCAUGGGUUUAAUAAUUAGCCAGGCUUAAAACUAUUAUUAUUAUUGAUAAAAUUCUUGCUGCUGUUCUCCAAUCUUGUCAGAACAUGAAAUGAGGUAAUUCUAUGUUUCAAUAAACACUUUCAAUUUA
Long non-coding RNA from Anguilla anguilla (European eel), 2614 nucleotides. RefSeq lists it as uncharacterized. The transcript has 2 exons. NCBI's taxonomy places the organism in Eukaryota, Metazoa, Chordata, Actinopteri, Anguilliformes, Anguillidae. The record is from RefSeq and is a predicted model, not a curated record.